Molecule: ribosomal RNA, 430 nt
Filed under: Pseudomonadota bacterium
Lineage: Bacteria; Pseudomonadati; Pseudomonadota
Description: Proteobacteria bacterium partial 16S ribosomal RNA
Rfam family: Bacterial small subunit ribosomal RNA
Source: RNAcentral
UGGGGAAUAUUGGACAAUGGGGGGAACCCUGAACCAGCCAUGCCGCGUGUGUGAAGAAGGCCUUAUGGUUGUAAAGCACUUUAAGCGAGGAGGAGGGUACUGGUAUUAAUACUACCAGCUACUGGACGUUACUCGCAGAAUAAGCACCGGCUAACUCUGUGCCAGCAGCCGCGGUAAUACAGAGGGUGCGGGCGUUAAUCGGAUGUACUGGGCGUAAAGCGUGCGUAGGCGGCUAAUUGAGUCGGAUGUGAAAUCCCCGAGCUUAACUUGGGAAUUGCAUUCGAUACUGGUUAGCUAGAGUGUGGGAGAGGAUGGUAGAAUUCCAGGUGUAGCGGUGAAAUGCGUAGAGAUCUGGAGGAAUACCGAUGGCGAAGGCAGCCAUCUGGCCUAACACUGACGCUGAGGUACGAAAGCAUGGGGAGCAAACAGG